CUUUUUGGCCUGAAGUCAAGCAAGAAA
This 27-nucleotide ribosomal RNA is filed under the name Protoceratium sp. PRSH3. Its description in RNAcentral is "partial large subunit ribosomal RNA". RNAcentral also lists the same sequence under 2 other names. The record is from RNAcentral. Lineage: Eukaryota; Dinophyceae; Gonyaulacales; Protoceratiaceae.